This is a long non-coding RNA of Hemiscyllium ocellatum (epaulette shark), 1129 nucleotides long. RefSeq lists it as uncharacterized. The transcript is spliced from 5 exons. Lineage: Eukaryota; Metazoa; Chordata; Chondrichthyes; Orectolobiformes; Hemiscylliidae. The record is from RefSeq and is a predicted model, not a curated record.
UCAGACCUGGAAGCUCUUGCUGCUAGAGGCCAAAGAAAAUUAGGACAAUAGAAAUUCACUUGUAAUUGAAUGAAGUAGAUAGUGGCAUCACAUUUGCUGUUUUCCAAUCUGCCGGAACUGCACCAUAUUCCAGAGAAUUUUGCUUCUCUCGAGCUUCCCCUACAUUCAGCAUUCUUAGAGCUGGGUUCAUCAGUUUGGGAUCAAUGACUGCACCAAAAUAUAUCUUCAAAUUCUGGGUUACUAACCAAAAAAAGAUUUACAUGACAUUUGCCUUAGAAGCCUUUGUUGACAUCCCAUCCCAUCCCUCCAUCAUGGACACUCAGUAGCAGCGGUGUGUACCAUGUACAAGAUGCACUGCAGAAAUUCUUCCAUGGACAGCAUCUUCCAAAUCCAUGACCACUUCCAUCUAGAAGCACAAGGACAGCAGAUACAUGGGAACAUCAACACCUGCAAGACCCCCGCAAGCCACUUACUGUCUUGACUUGAAAAUAUAUCAUCAUUCCUGCAGUAUUGCUGGAUCUAAGUCCUAGAAUUCCCCCUCUAAUGGCACUGAGAGUCUACCUACAGCACAUGGAUUGCAGCAGUUCAAGAAGACAGCUCACCACCACCUUCUCAAUGUCAACAAGGGAAGACAAUAGAUAUUGGCCACCGGUAACAGCCAUAUCCCACAAGUGAAUUAAAAAAAGGAACAUAAUUGGCAAGUGAAUUUUAAUCAAGAUGUUGCCAGUGGCAUCUGCUCCUAUCCAGAAAUCAAGAGUGACAGUAACAUUGAGGACCAUGGGCAGUGCUGUUAUUGCUGUAUUGCAUGCCUGAAGAUCACAUUGUAUAAGAUAGUAUGACUACCAUCUUGGACGGACACAGGUAUCUGAGACAAUGCUCCUGGCUGACGUGAAGUUAGAAGUGAUCCCUAAAAACCUGGGGUUUACUGCCCUUCUCCUCUGCACACAACUACUCUCUGCUAUUUGUGCUUCAUUUCCCAAGACUGGUUGUAACUCGAGUCCUAUCAUUGAUACAGGCUUUCUCCUGAUGGGCCAAUUAACUCCUCCAUUUCCUGGUCAGGAUUGGCUCUCACUGCCUUUGAAAUCCAAACAGCAAGUUCAGAACUCCUCCAAUAAUACAGAGCACAGUC